RNAcentral lists this ribosomal RNA (460 nucleotides) under uncultured bacterium. RNAcentral's name for it is "partial 16S ribosomal RNA". It matches the Rfam family "Bacterial small subunit ribosomal RNA", at positions 338 to 795 of the family's 1533-position model. The record is from RNAcentral.
CCUACGGGAGGCAGCAGUGAGGAAUAUUGGUCAAUGGGCGUAAGCCUGAACCAGCCAAGUCGCGUGAGGGAUGAAGGUUCUAUGGAUCGUAAACCUCUUUUAUAAGGGAAUAAAGUGUGGGACGUGUCAUGUUUUGUAUGUACCUUAUGAAUAAGGAUAGUCUAACUCCGCGCCAGCAGCCGCGGUAAUACGGAGGGUACGAGCGUUAUCCGGAUUUAUUGGGUUUAAAGGGUGCGUAGGCGGCCUUUUAAGUCAGCGGUGAAAGUCUGUGGCUCAACCAGAGAAUUGCCGUUGAAACUGGGAGGCUUGAGUAUGUUUGAGGCAGGCGGAAUGCGUGGUGUAGCGGUGAAAUGCUUAGAUAUCACGCAGAACCCCGAUUGCGAAGGCAGCCUGCCAAGCCAUGACUGACGCUGAUGCACGAAAGCGUGGGGAUCAAACAGGAUUAGAUACCCUGGUAGUC